RNAcentral lists this transfer RNA (73 nucleotides) under Ailuropoda melanoleuca (giant panda). It matches the Rfam family "tRNA". From Rfam's summary of the family: Transfer RNA (tRNA) molecules are approximately 80 nucleotides in length. Their secondary structure includes four short double-helical elements and three loops (D, anti-codon, and T loops). Lineage: Eukaryota; Metazoa; Chordata; Mammalia; Carnivora; Ursidae. The record is from Rfam by way of RNAcentral.
ACCUGGCUGGCUUAGUCUGUAGAGCAUGAGACUCUUGAUCUCGGAGUUGUGAGUUUGAGCCCCACGUUGGGUG